AAUUGGCUGCAUAUUGAAGAGGGAAAAACAAAGAACAGAGACCCGCAUCCUCUCGCCGCCGCCGCCUCUCACCGCUGAAGCCCGUCGCCGCCGCCUCUUGCCGCUGAAGCCUCUCGCUGCCGGCUUCAAAGAAGAAGAGACCCGCUGCUGAAGCCCGUCACCUCGCCUCUCGCCACCGCCGCCGCUCGCCGGAGUGUCCGCUGCUCUCGCCGCCGACCCGUUUCGCUGCCUCACCGCUCGAUCAUGGUGGCAAGCCCCAGCCGUGUUCGAGCUCGAGCUCGAGCCUGAGGUCAGAUUUGCCGAGCCGAGCUCGGCUCGAUUGUAUCUUCAAGAAUGGUGGCGGCAUGCCCUGACCUUGACGGACACGGCGACGGAGAGAAUAUGGCACCGGAAACGUCCGUUCCUCAAGCUCGGCGUUUAGGCCCGCGUCUGCAACGGCUAUCCUACACCCUCAACUAUGCAGCAACAUUGGUUUCAAAGGGUAUUCCCUCAAUCGAUCUCCAAGAUGGGUAUUGCUACAGCUUUGGUACCCAUCUUGGAGAAUCAUCAUCAACUGGUAUGAAGCAACUUUGGUUUAAGAGGGAAUUAUCUUGAUCGAUCGCCAUCUUAGAGAAUCAUCAUCAAUUAGUAUGGAGGUAUGAGUGUGGUAUUUCUCUUUGUGACCGUUGAUUGAUUAAUUCUAUCCACUUUGAUAUGAUUGGGUUCUCUCUCAUGUAUAUUAUAUCUAUUAUCUAUGCGAUUAGUUGAAUUGAGUAUAUAGUAAUACUAAUUAAGUGACGUGUGAGCAUGAGCUCAAAAUUCUUCUAAAAGAGCUAUUUUUGAUAUGAAAGAAUCAUAUUUUUAUAAAAACAAUCAUUAGAGGGUAUCAUAAUAUCGAUACUUUUGCAAUUACUAACAAUUGAAAUGGACGGAGUAUUUUCUUUAUGAACAUGUAAUAAUCGUUGAUGAAUAAUGUAAUUUUCUAUUCGUUGAUUCUAUCUAGAGAAUUCUUUAUUUUUUACACAUGUGCCUCCUAGAAUACGUAAUGAUUCUUUUUAAUCAUCAACUUGUAUGAAAGUAUGGCUAUAGUGGUGGCACCAAGAAUCUCGAAGAGGCCACCUUGACCUUCUCGAAGAAGAGGAUUAAUGAACAUAGUUUGUGUUUUUUGGCUUGAAGGGAGGUGCACUUGCCAUCCAUGUAUGUUCUUGCACGCUCUACCAUUAGAAUCAACGCUUGCAAUAGCUUUGACUUCCAAGUAGAAGCAGCUCCAAGGUUGGAAAUUAUCAAGAACCUAAAAGAGGAAAGAGUAGUGGUGACAAGAUUAAUUUAUCUGUUGAGUCUAAAUAUCAUCGCAUUAAAAGGGUUGAAGAGAAAAAUGAACUUUGCCAAGCUUGGUGUUUUGGAAAUUGUAUGUGUGGUGAUCAAAACUACUAGUAUUUGCACGCUUGAUUUUAUGGCGGUGGCUUUUCACUGCUUGCAAACUUAAUGGACACAACAUUGUUAUGGGCAUCGCACUUCCUUCGGGCUCUAACAAGCUGUACUUCAAAAAUAAGGACAAGAUAAUGCCAUUGUGGGAUUGCCACACAAGUAGGGCAAUGAGGGCAAUGAACUCUGUUCACAUAAGUUUGUUUUGAUAAAUUUUCAUAUGAUGCUUGUACAUGUAUUUUUUUGUACUUUAAAUGAUGCUAAUUGGAAACCACCUGUUUAUAUAGGGCAGUGUCUUGAUGCGAUGUACAUGUUGAGUGAGGUUUAUUGUUUGAUGAACGAAGGCCUGUGGUUAUUCAUGGGCCUAAAUAAUACAGUUAAGGCGUGGAAUACUCAAAAAUCAUCUGAAGUGUUGACCAAUCCUAGUAAUCAUCUAAAGCGUUGACCAUACUAGGAAUGAUCAGCGCUUCAGAUGAUUUUCGAGUGUUUCACGCCUUAAUUACAUUAUUCAGGCUUAUGAAUAGUUACAAGUCUUCGUUCUUCAAACAACAAACCUCACUUGAUAUGUAUAUUGCAUCAAGACACUAAACUACAUGCAGAGAUGUAAAUGGGCGGUUCCCAAUUAGCAUCAUUUAAAGUGAAAACAAGUAUAAAAAAGUACAUGCUCAAGCAUAAUUUGAAAAUUUAUCAAAAUAAGCUUGUGUAAACGGGGUUCAUUGCCUUGCUUGUGUGGCAGUCCCAAAGCGGCACUGUUUUGUCCCUGCUUCCGGAGUACAGCUUGUUAGAGCUUGAAGGAAGUGCGAUGCCCAUAACAACAUUGCUAUGUUCAUUAAGUUUUGCAAGUAAUGAGAAGCCACUGUCACAGCUCGAGGGCGCUACCAUAAUUAAGGGCGGAUUAUGGUUGUAAUUAGUAGUGGUAUUGGGGUAAUUAGAGCCCCAAGCACAUGGCUACUUGGGGCCUAAUUGCAAGAGUUUGUUAUUGAGAAUUCUUUAGAGUGUAACACUCUUCUAAAUAAGAUUAUUAGGUCGGGGAUCAUGUGAGCAUUAUUCUAGUGAUCUUUUUUCUCAUAUUCUUUUAUUGAUCUCUCUCUAAUUCUCUUGUUUAUUUUCUCUUGCCAAUUCUCAUAUUUUUUUUAAUUAUGAAAGAUUCCCUAUGAAAUCUCAAAUUUGACGAUCACGGCCAUAAAAUCAAGCGUCCAAGUACAGGUAGUCUUGAUCUUCAUGUAUGCAAUUUUCAAAAAGCCAAGCUUGGUAAAGUUCAUUUUUUUUUCCAACCCUUUUGAGGCGAUGACGUUUAAGCUUGACAAAUGAAUUAAUUUUGGCACCAUUACUUUUUUCGUCCUUCGAACUCUUGUUUUAAGUUCAUGAUGAUUUGCAAUCUUGGAAUUAUUUUUACUUGGAUGUCAAAAUUACUGUAAGCGCUGAUUCUAAUAGUAAGGCAUGCGAGAUCAUGCAUGAAUGGCAAAUGCACAUUUCCUCAAGCUAAAAGGCACAAAUUAUAUUCAUUGGUCCUCUUUUUCAGGAUGGCUAAGGUGGCCUCUUCAAAAUUAUUAGCGCCACCAUUGUAGUUAUACAUUUAUACAAAUUGAUGAUUAAAAAGAACCAUUAUGUAUUUUAGUAGGUACAUACGUAAAAAAACAAAGAAUUCGAUAACUAGGAUCAACAAAUAAAAAAUUACAUUAUUCAUUAAUGAUUAUUACAUGUUUAUAAAAAAAGUACUCUGUUCAUUUUAAUUGUUAGUAAUUGUAAAAAUAUCGAUAUCAUGAUACAUUUUGAUGAUUGUUUUUAUAAAAAUAUGAUGAUUCUUUCAUAUCAAAAGGAAUUCUUUCAGAAGAAUUUUGAGUUCUUGCUCACACGUCACUUAAUUAAUGUUGUUUUAUACUCGAUUUAACUAAUCACAUAGAUAAUACAUAUAAUAUACAUGUGAGAACUCUAGCAUACCAAAGUGGAUAGAAUUAAUCAUUCAAUAGUAACAAAUAGAAAUACCACACUGGUAGCCAUUCCUUUGAACCAGUUGAUGAUGAUUCUCCAAGAUGGCGAUUGAUCAAGGUAAUUCUCUUUGAAAAUAAAGUUUUUGCAAAAUAGAGGAAAAUUCAGUACGAGAUUUGAUUAAGAAAGAGACGACCAAAAAGAAAAAACAAUCAUGCCAGCAGGGAAAUAUCAACAAAAAGUGUGUUUUUACUCAUGUAAGCUUGCCUAUUUAUGGAGAACCAAACUUGAGAGGUAAGUUAAGUUUUCCAAUCAAAACGUGCACCCAAAUAAGAGAAGUUAAUGUGAUAUCUUUUGCCCCAAAAUCGAUAAAAAAUAAUAGAUUUUGGUUAAUAAACUUGAGAGAAAACUUAAUUUGUUUGUAUUCAAAUCUUGCAACCAGAUAAGAAAAGAUAAUGCACUAAUAUUUUUUCCUCUAGAAUAGAUCAAAUAUAAUAGCUUUUGAUAAGGUUUUUAGAGUCAUAACAAACUUGAGAGAAAGAGUUAAGUUGUUACAAAUAAAUUAUACAACUAGGUUAGAGAAGAUAAGAGUUUCGAUAUUAGCACCUACAAAUUAAGGAUUAUAUAUUUAACUCUUAUAACAGAUUAUAGAUAAUAGCCUUUUACAUGUCAAAUUUUCAUAUUUAUAAUGUUAAGAGAGCAGUAUUAUAUAUUUUGUCAUGCUUUCAAAUUAAGAUUACUUUAAAAGAUUUAUUUAGGAUUUACCCCUCUUUAACUUUUUUUUAUUUACCCAUUUAUACCUCCAAAGAUAAUUUCAUAUACAACUUUUCACGUGACAUUUAGAAUUGAUUCAUAAUUUUUCUAAAGGUGACCCUUUCCCCCAAAAUAUCUUAUAUUGAGAAAAAAUCAUGUGUAAUUUUGUAAAAGAAAGAGAUAAAUAUAUUUUUAAUUUUAUUUUUUUAAGUAUUAUAUUUUGAUUGAGCUUUUAUGUUAAUGUAUAUGGAAGCAUAUAAUUAUAAUUAUUUAUUAAAUUUUUGGUCCCCACAACAAUGUUCAUGACAUUUCGCCCUUGGUCAGAUAUAACUACCAGUAGUAAAGUUGAAAUUAUUUGAUUUUUUGAGUUGUUUAAUUUAACAUAGUGUUAUGAUUUUCGAUUGAAAACAAACCAUUAUCACAUUAUUAACUAUAAAAGUUAACAUAAAAUUUAAUGUGAAAAACUUAAAAUCGAAAAAAUAAAACACGAACAUAAAAAAUAAAAUAUCACUAUGAUGAUAUUGGUGCUACAAUAGUGAUAUUGGUACCAUAAAAAAAUAUUAGUAAGAUGAUAUUGCUACAAUACAAGUGACAUAAUUGCAAUAAUUUUAGAGUAUUGGGUAGCUAUUAAUAGAUUUACCACUCAUUUAUAGAUGUAUAUAAAAAUGAUUUAAAUAAAUCUAUAUUCUAAUAAGAAGAUAAGCCAAGAAGAGAAUAAAUCUUCAAAUGUAGAUGCACCCUAAUCGUAGGCAAAUUUGAUAUUUUAAUUAUAGUCAUUUAAAUUUCGAGUUACAAUUAUAACAAACAUAAUGAAUAAUUACAUAUUCUAUUACGUACAAUGUGAAAAAUCAAGAAUUCACUAACUAGGAUGUAUAAAUACAAAAUGAUAUUAUUAAUCAUUGAUACACAUUCAAAAUGAAUAUACCCAAUGGAAUUGUUAGUUAUUACAAAAAAUAUCAAUAUUAUUAUAUUCUUUAAUGAUUUUUUAAAUAAAAAUAUGAUUUUUCCAUAUCAAAAGGAAAUUUAUUAGAAGAAUUUUAACCUCAUGCUGAAAGUCCAACAAUGUUGUAUGCUCAAUUCAAUUAAUCAUAUAGAUAAUAACUAUAAUAUACAUGGAGAAAACAUUAGUAAACAAAAAUGGAGUGAAUUAAUUAAUCAACAAUUGCGAAGAAAAGGACUAGAGCUAUAGUAAUACCUUAUAUUCCUUUUGGCUACAAAAGGGGAUAAUCGGAUGGAGGGCUUGAGGCAACGAUGACCUAUACGGCGAGGGGUGGUUAGCAUUUGCAAGCACUCCGACGUUUAAGUAAGUAAAAGUUUAAGGUAAUAGAGAUUCUGUAAGGUUGAAAAUGAACAUAUCUUGGUUGAUGGUCGGUUAGCUUAUAUAGGAAAGAAGGUGAGAGUCUCUUGCAUGUUGUCGGUUGUUGCAGGUGAGUUGGGAGCCAGGGAUCUUGGGGCAGUUAAGGUUUGUUCCGAGUGCUAGGAUCUUGGCAUGGCGAUGAGAGGAUGGGGGAUGCUGCUGAACUAACUUGGAUGGGUUGGGUUAUGGGGACUGGCCCUAAUACUUAGCAAUGAGCUUGUUUGUUAGGCCUGGCCCAAUGGAAUUAGUACGAUCCACAGCCUCCCAGGUUAGAUGUUUGCAAGGGUGAGCAUUCAAGCUCAGGAUGUAGCUGAGGUGUUCUAAUCGUUCUGGCUUGCCUUGACCUCGAGCAAUGCUUGCUAGGGCUGAGCUUGACGUGGUCGAGCUUGCUAGGGGUUAUUUUCGAGGUACUGGUAAGUAGCGCAUGUGGUCUCGAAACUCAAGGCGUUUGCUUUGGAAGAUGGGACAUCGUGGGCGGACAUGGAGUUGUUCCACCGUAGUGUGACAAGUGGGGGGAUCUUCUUUAUGGGUGUUUGGCGACGCUUGAUCUCUAUUCGUUGGAUGCAUCAUGCGAUGGUGAUUUGUCAUUAGGAAUGGGCCUAGAUCGCAACCGUUGAGUGAUAUCUAUAUAAGGAUGCCUGUAGGCCGUUUUCUUGCUUCUUACUUUUGCGUUUGCAUCUGAUUUUCAAACCCUGGUUCUCUGAGAACUUUUGCGUUCUUCUUGCCUUCAAUUACUCGUGUGCUUUCGGCUUAGGCCAAGUUUUCCUUUUACCUUUCUUCUAUAGAUUUCGUUUGCUCCAUAGGUAAUUCCACAAUCCUGAUUCUUUUGACUCUUUUCCUUUUUGCUCUUUUUGUUAUUUUUUGCUGGUUAUCGAGUGUUCUGGCGAAUUUGGGGAAUGAAUCCAGGGAGGGGAGUGAUUCCGUGAUUGUCGUGGGAGAGCUCAUGACAAGGAAUCCGAUGCCUAUGCAUAGGGCUAGCCGUCGGGCUUUGCUAGUUGAGCUUAGAUGAGUGAUUCAACAUAUAGAUCGGGGUAUUCGAAACGUAGUUUGAAGUAGGCACGAGGUAUCGAGUUUUGACAAUUCUUUUUUCCCUAGGUCCCUCGGGGAUAGUAUAGGUGCUAUAUCCAUGGUUAGGUCACCUUCAAGUGCGUUGUCUGGUGCGAGUGGCAAUUAUAGCUAGGUGAGUGAGGACGUAGCCAAGGUCGCUUCGAUAUAUGACUCACCGAGCAAUGUCGUUGUGCUGAGGUCGUGAAUCUUUUUGUCAGUGGUUGGGGACAAGGGUUUGUUUGAGUGUCGACCUUGUGGGGAAAAGGAAUGAGUCUUCUCGGCUGCGGACUCGGGGUGGAUUUUUGUGCACGAGACGUUUUGCACGCGUCUUUGUCUUUGACUCCCGUUUACUGAAUUCUAGUGCUUGGUGUUGGCGAUGUUUAACAUUGCCCCGACCCAGCUACACCCAAACAGUUGGGCCUUCGUGAGGGCCUUUGAGGUUUUGUUGAGCUUUUUUGGUCGGGAAAUGAGCACGGGGGUUUUCUUUUCUUUCUUCCAAUUGAAUGGGGUUAGCAAAGGUAGCUGGGUCUCUUUGAGUGGGCUUCCAAGGAGGAAAUUGCUGAAGGCAUUUGACAACUCUUACAAGAACUUCAAGGCCGGCUACUUCUAGGUGGCUUCUCGGCAAGACAAGCUUGCCUUCUUCUUGGAUGAGAACGCGAUUGCCAAAUUCCUUUUUUGUGCUGGAGCAAGGAGCCAUUCUUUAUUACGGGGGUGGAAUACUAGAGCUUAAGCUCGGGACCAACUGAUGGUGGAUUUUCUCGAGGAUCGCCAAAUAUUAGAGAGCUUGGUCCUUGUCAAGUAUGGGAACAACCAAGAGGGUCUUGCUGUUUAUAUGGGUUGGUUUUUGUCUUGCCUUUCUUUCUUGGUUAUCGUUUGCUGUUACUUAUACUACUUGUCUUCUUUUUCAAGCAAGAUAGCCCUUAAGAUGACUGUCGAGGAGGUGAGGUAGCACGCUGUCUAGAGGAGAAGUGUUGAGUAGAGCUCUGGGUCGGCCUGCAAGGUCUCCUAGAAGGCUCAUGCCUUGGAGAGGGGGUGCUUGAUCGUCUAAGGUCUUUACGUUAACUAAAGGUCUCGCAUUGACUCCUUGGUCGGCUUUGCAACCUGCUUCUUUGAAAGCUUGGUCCCCUGAUAAGCCAAGGAGACUCCGUUAUAGUGGAAGCGACCGAGAGUUGCUUGGGAAGAGGAGUCUGGGCCAUCCAUGGUCUUGAGCUCAGUCAUUGACUAGUCGUCGGGCGUAGGGCCGCUCUUGUUGAGGCCUGUCUUAUGGGGCUAUGAUGCCGAGGUUGACUCAAGGAGCCUCUGGAGCAAGGAUUUUCGAUUCGGCGCUUUUGUCAAUGAGCGUCUCUCCUUCCUAUCUUGGACCUCGAGAUUGGGGGGCUGUGCCGUUAGGCCAAGAUGCAGUCAUUUUCGACUCACCAACGCCUGUUGGACACUGGAGCUAGAGUAUCGGGGGCUCAAUUGAAGAGGGUCAGCCAUGCCUGCGAGGAGGCGGUUGAGUGGUCGAGGGGGGAGAUGGUCGUCGAGAUGGAGGGGCUACAAAAAGUGGUAAACGAGGCCAGAGUUUCAGCCACGACUAUCGGCACUGUUUCUUUAAUUUUAUUGCAUGGACAUAGUUUAGUUUUAAAUGAUUGUUUAUGUGUACUUGGAGCAUUUAAGAACAUUAUUUUUAUUCAUGUCUUGGUGAAAAAAAAUUAUGAAUUUUUUUUAAGAAUAAUGUUUGUAAAAUUUAUUUUAAAAAUAAAUUGAUUGCUGUCGGUAAUUUUGUCAAUGGUCUUUACAUUUUGAAUGUGACUGUUGAUGAUAGUAAACAUAUGUGUGUAUCAAAUAAUAAUAAGAGACCACGAGAUAACUAAAAUUCUAAAAUUAUAUGGCAUCAUAGAUUGGGUCAUAUAGGGGAUGACAGAAUCACUAAGUUGCAGAAAGAUGAGCUUCUAGGUUCAUUAGGUUUUGACCCAUAUCUAACGUAUGAAUCUUGUAUCCUUGACAAAAUAAUCAAGUCACCAUUCGCUGGAUAAGGGGUUAGGGUUACAGAAUUAUUAGAACUCAUACAUUCUGAUGUAUGUUGGCCUAUUAAUGUAAUGACCUGAAGAUGUUAUCAAUACUUCAUAACUUCUACAGAUGAUAUAUUUAGAUAUGAAUAUGUUUAUCUCAUGAGACAUAAAUUUGAAUCUUUUGAAAUAUUCAAAAACUUUAAAGCUGAAGUAGAAAAUUAAACCGAUAAAAAGAUAAAGGUCUUACGAUCAGAUCGUGGAGGCGAAUAUCUUAAUAAUGAGUUUGGAGAUUUUCUUAGGGUCUCAGGUAUUAUUUCACAACGUAUCCCACCAGGAACACCUCAACUGAAUGGAGUUUUAGAACAGAGGAACAAAACUCUAUUAGAUAUGGUUUGAAGCAUGUUAAGUUAUUCUGACUUACCAAUGUUCCUGUGGGGUCGUGCCAUUCUUACUGCAAUAUAUAUCCUAAACAGAGUUCCUUCUAAGUCAGUUCUUACAACACCACAUGAGAUAUGGUUUGAAAGAAAAUCCAGUCUUAAAUAUGUUAAGAUUUGGGGAUGUACAAUUUUUGUGAAAAAGUUUAAACCAAAAAAACUUAAGACACGGUCUUUGAAGGGUAGUUUCGUAAGUUAUCCUAAGGAUACCUUAGGAUAGAAGUUCUAUCUUCCUGAAUUGUAACAAGUAGUUGUUAGUAGGAACACUAUUUUUUUUCUUUCAAGAAGAUGGAAAGGAAAAUAGAACUUGGCGAAGGGUUUGCCAAACUUGAAGCUAUGCGGCGAGACGUCCAAGCACCUAUUGAGGAGCUAGAGUCGAGUGUUGCACCUCCCAUUAGAAGAAUUGAGAGGAUAUCACGACAACCCAAGAGAUAUGGUUUCCUAAGUGAGUAAGAGUUGUUUACUAUAGGAGAUAGUGAUCAUUCAGAUGAUCACAUCACUUACCGGGAGGUGAUAUCAGAUAUCGACUCAAAUAGAUGGCUAGAGGCUAUGAAAUUUGAAAUGGAUUCGAUGUACACGAACUAGGUCUGGACUCUUGUCGAUUCACCAAAAUGUAUAAUACCUAUUGGAUGCAAAUGGGUUUUUGAGAAGAAGAUAAGUUUAGAUGGAAAUGUAGAGACCUACAAAGCAAGACUUGUGGUGAAAUAUUACUGUCAAAGGCAAGGUGUUGACUAUGAGAAAACCUUCUUCCCAAUCUUCUUGCUUAAAUCCAUCAGAAUUCUUCUAGCCAUUGCCACUCAUUAUGAUUAUGAGAUUUGACAAUUGGAUAUAAAGAUAGCCUUCCUGAAUGGCUAUAUAGGUCAGGACAUCUAUAUGGAACAAUUAGAAGGCUUCACAUCCAAGGAUCAAGCAUGGAAGGUAUACAAGUUUAAGAGAUCCAUUUAUGGUCUUGAGCAAGUAUCUAGAAGUUGGAACAUCUGUUUUGACAAUGAAGUGAAAUCGUUUGGUUUUAUUCAAAACAUCGAUGAACCAUGUGUAUAUAAAAAUGCUAGUGGGAGCGCGAUUGCGUUUUUGGUCUUAUAUGUUGAUGAAAUUCUACUCAUUGGGAAUGAUGUAGCUUUGUUGUCAAAGAUAAAAGUGUGGUUGUCAAGUACGUUCUCCGUGAAAGAUUUGGGAGAGGCAACCUAUAUUCUCGGUAUUCGGAUCUAUAGGGAUAGAAUCAAGAGAUUGAUAGGGCUCUCCCAAACCAAGUACAUAGAAAGAGUGUUGAAGAGAUUCAAAAUAAAGGAUUCUAAGAGAGACCUGCUGCCCUUUAGACAUGGAAUCCACCUUUCUUUGGAUAUGUGCCUUGAGACACAAGAAGAGAGAUCGCAUGUCUAAGAUCUCUUAUGUUUCAAUAAUAGAAAGCCUAAUGGAUGCGAUAUUAUGUACUAGGAUGUUCAUGCUGUAAGCAUUACAAAUGGAUAUUAGUCUAAUCCAGGUGAACAACAUUGUAUUGCUGUUAAGAACAUUCUUAAGUAUUUGAGAAUGACUAAGGAUUUAAUUCUUACUUAUGGGGGAACUUAAAGUGGAGGGUUACAUACACUACAAGAAAAUCAUAAUUUAAUGACGAAUUUUGUGAUAGAUUUAGUGACGCAAAUCUGUCACUAAAAUGUUUUAGCGACGGCUUGCCUGUCACAGAAUUUUAGUGAUGGAAUUUCUGUCUCUAAUUAGUGACGGGAUUGGCAAUCUCGUCUCGUCACAAAUCAAAGAUGGGGAUGGCCAGUCUCGUCGCUGAUUUGUGUUUAAAAUCUCCCACCCCUUUCCCCUUCUUCCCCUUCUCAAACGCAUUUUCUCCCUCUUCCCCUUAGUUCUCACGCCAUUUCUCCCCCCUCCCCAUGUUCUCACGCCAUUUCUUUAUUUCCCUUGGUUCUCUCGUUCUUUGCGGCUGUUGCCCCCCACCAGUGUUGUUACUGCCUCCGGUGCCAUUGCUGCCACUCUUUCAGUCACUAAGGUAAUUAUUUUGUGUUGUUUAGUUUUAGUUAUUUUGUGUUGUUUAGUUUUAGUUUAAAGCUUUUAAAGUUAGUUAUUUUGUGUUAGUUUAAUUUAAUGGUUAUUUUAUGUUAAUUAGUUUAGUUUAAGUUCAAUUGUUUAUAUUAUUUGUUACAGUAUGUUUAGAAAUUAAAAUGUGAACUUUAUUGAUUGUUAUUUAGUAAUCAUCAUAUAAAUGUACAUCAAAUUUUGUUAUGUAAUUGUACUAGCGUGUGCCCGUGCCUAAAUGCACGAUAUAAAUAAUAUUAAGAUUAAAAUAUAGUUAUAAUUUAUACGUAUUAUGUUAAAAUUUGUAAAUAACUUGUAAUAAUUUUACUUGUAUUAAACGUUCUACAAAACUCAAAUAAGAAACAAACAUAUCAGUUUUAUAAUAUUCACCAAUAUUGCAAAUUUAUAUAUAAGAGCAAGUAAAAAAAAAAAUUAUAAAUACUAAACAAAAAAUAGAAAUUAAAAUUAUUAUAUACUUGUUAACGUUUUAUAAUAUAAAGAAAAAAAAUUACUUAAUCUAUAUAAUAAAGCACAUCAGUAAGUGUUGUACCAGUAUUUUGCAUAUCGGUCUAUAUUCUAUAAUUAAAUACCAGCAUGUAUUCUAUAAUUUCAAAUAAAUUAAAUAUAAAAAAUAUUAAAUAAUAAAUAAUGCACAAUAGCCAAUAUUUUGCAAUCUAAAAGAAAUUAAAAUUAAAAUACACAUGAGUUAGUGCUACUGAUAUCAAAUUAUAACUAUAUAAGAAAAAUAAAUAUUAUAUUGUCAUAUACCAAAAGAGUAGGUUAAAACUUCACACACACGCACACACAUACACAUAUAUAUAUACACACACAAACACAUUGAAUAUAUAUAUACACCCGAACACAAACACACAUGGCUGCGGCCAUGGCAGCUGCCGCCGACCACCAUGGCUGCGACAAUCAACGGGGGGAACCUCAGUUUAGGGUUGGAGAACCUUGGGUUUCUGACUGUGAGUGGUGGAGAAUUUUUUGAUUUUUAUAUUAUCUUAAUUAAAAAAGUAGAAUUAAUAAAAUAAAAAUAGAAUUAAAAAAACAAUACAAAUAAAUGAAUUAUUUUUGAAUAUCUGUAAUAUGAUAGAUUUAAGUAUCAAAGAUUCAACACCUAAGGAUAAAAAUAUUAGGUUGCGUUCUCUUUACUGUUUUCAAGUCAUUUUUAAUUUUUAAUUUUCUAAAAUAAUAAAAAUGCGUUCUUUUUACUGUUUUUAAAAAUAUAUUUUUGAAAACAAAAAAAAAAUUAUAAAGAAAAUUCAAAACAACAAAAAGUUGUUUUGAGUGUUUUCAUUCAAAACAAACUCUAAAUUUAAAACAUAUAUAUUUAUUUAUUUAUUUAUUUAUAUUUUAUUAUUGUAAUAAAAAAAUAUAAAAAAAUCAUUAACUUUAAAAUGUAUAUAUAUUUUUAAUAAUAUAUUAUCAUUAAAUAUUUAUAAUUUACUGAAUAAUCAAAUUUAUUGAAAAAAAUAUCAUUAAAAAAAUAUUUUCAAAAUUUCAAAAAGAAUGCGUUUUCUAAUUUUCUGUUUUGAGAGAGUUUUUUAAAAUAACAAAGAGAACGUGUUUUUAAUUUUCUAAAAACAGACUAUCAAAACAUAAAAUUGAAAAUGAAUUCAAAAUUCAAAAUUGAAAAUUGAAAAUUAAAGAGAAUGCAGUCUUAAAUUUCAAAUUAAGGUUAUUACUUUUGUAACGCCCCGUUUUCUCGGGUGUGUUAUAAUCUGGUACAAUUUCGGGACAAUAAAUUUUUUUUUUUAUUUCAAACACUAAAACUAAAUCACAUCAUUUCUCUAAUCCGUCCCAGAAUUCCCAUACAUUAAUUUUGAAAGAGAAUCACUAUACACAUCAAAUGCGGAAACAAAGAUCGAAACCUGAUAUCUUAACAUUAAUCAUAAAUUUUUACAUCUUCAACAUUCCAUAAAACGUUCAGAAUCUAAAGUAACAGAACUUAAAUAUAGGGGUUACGUAACAUACAUUUAAUUUUUCAUGUACUCUGCUAAGUGCCAUUUUAUGCAUCAUUUAUCCUUGAAUCUGCUACAAUCUACAUCUGGAACGUUUGAAUAUUCCAAGGGUAAAACUCAAGUUAGAUGAUGAAUCAUCUAAGUAAAUGUACAUAAUGCUAUGUCAUGUGUAUAUGCAAUGUCUUUCCUUGUAGGUGUCAACUGCACCGCUCAUGCUGCCUACCAUUUUUGCGGCCAUCUCUUUCGAUGCCGAGGUGUAUGGGUGCACCCUUGGUAAAGCAGUGGUGCCAGUUCGUACUCCUUACGGCCUCAAUGCGAGUGAUCAAUGAUAUCAACGUGUAUUUAUGCAUUUCAUAGUCAUGUCAUGUAUUCAGUCUACGUGAUAGAUACAUAUCAGAGUAUGUCAAUAUGAUGAAAACAUUUUCUAGGAACAUAAACCACUUGCAAACUAAGCAUUUUUCAUAAAAUUAACUUUAAUUAGGGAAUACCACUUACCUUCUCAAGCUUAUUGGGCUGCCUUGAUAUUCGUGCUCUACCUCGAAAUUCGUGCAUUACCUCGAUUUGUGUGUUAACUUCAAAAUUUGCACAAGUCUCUUCAACUUAAGCCUCAAAGCACCAUAAUCAUUUAAAUAAACAUUAAAAUCUAUUUUUUUCAUAAUUUCUGACAUUUUCUUUUAAUUUUCUCUCUAUUUCUUCUUAUUUUUUCUCAAUAAAUCCAAACUAAAUAUUUUUAAAAUAUUUUCUCAAAUAUUUCACUACGACAAUUCAUAAAAUAAUAUUCUUGAAUUUCUGAAAUUUUUUAGAGAAUUUUACUUAUCUUGACUUAGCCUUCCCAGCUUUCUCGGUAUGUGUAUCAUAUUCCUGAAAAGUGUGCUUGGACAAUUUUUCUUGCCCUAAAUCUCCAGAAUAUUAUUGAAAUAUAAUUUUCUAUUUUUCAGGAUUUUUUUGAGAAUUUUUCUUUUUUUUUUCUUUUUGCCUUUCCUUUUAUUUCUUCUUCACUUCAUCUUCAAGCUCCAUUUCUUCUUCCUCUGCACCGCGCACUGCUCCAUGCGCAAACCAGCCACGUCGCCGCCUUGCUCAGCCACCUCCCGUCGCCUCUACGGCCGGCAUCGCCGUCGCCGGUCGCCACUGGCUCCACCGCACACUACAGCAGCCAUCAUGGCCGAUGCCACCGUGCUGCCCUGUUUGCCGAGCUUGCGGAAGCUCCCAUGGCUGUCGCACAGCAGCCUUGGUGUUGCUACCCUGGCCGAUUACGGCCAUUCCUGCCAUCACCGCGACUAAUUAUCGGCUUUAUGGCAGCCUCCUCGCACUGCCCCUGCUUGGCGUCGGCCUGUUAGAAGCUCACUGACGAGCUACCAUGGCCGACUUCAACAUUCUUUGCUGCCAUCAACGGCCGAUUCAAGCCGCUUCUCGGCCUUCGCUCGCCGCUUCGUUGUUGCCUCCCUGGUUGCAGCUCCGCGCUUGCUCUCUGCAACUCGGCCAUGGCUUGCCUUUACUUCUCAACUCUCAUCUCUAUUUAUGGGCGCUCGGUUGCUCCCUCACCUCACUGAGCCAUUCCUUCUUGCGUCCGACACACUCAACUGGCUGUCAUGGAUUUGCAGAGGCGUGGGAUUUGCGCAAAUCACAGAUGCAAAAAGCAUGGCUGAUUUACAGGGCAUGGGUUGAUUUGCAGGGUGCUUGCUACGCAUAUAUAUAUAAUUAUAUACUACUUUAAUAUAUAUAAAAAUUGCAUAAUUAAUUUAAAAAUUAUACAUUAAACCCCAAAUUUUAUCCCUAUUACACUAGUAUAAAUCCCUAAUUGCAACUACGACCUUAAACUUCAAAUUAAUUUGCAUUAUAAUAUCGAAAAUUCACAAUUAAUAACUUAAAUUUUACUUGAUAUAGAUGAUUUCGUCUUUGUGUCCUCUCGGGACCUUUAUUUCAUCUUGAAACCACUGAAGUGUUGCUUAUUACGCAAAACCAGAGCUUCCCUAAGGUUCUGUUGAUUUUUCGGGAGUCUUCUACAAUGAUUCGAUUUUACAGCCUAAAUAACAGCUGUAUUUUAGCUGUAUCGAAAAUUGUUUCCGAUUCGAUUUCUUUCGAUACUAUAAAUCUUAUCUCGGAACGCUCAUCGAGACCAUAUCAGUUUUCUUAGAUAAUUUCACUUCGAGACACUCCUUGCAGUCAAUUUGAUACUUAUAACUGCUAUUAAGUCAAUUUUUCAGUAUUCUAAACUUAUCGAAAUUACGUGGCAGUUUUAUACGAUCAUAUGGGGUAUUACAACUUUGAUAUCAUUAUUAUUUGAAUAAAGUUUUAUACUAAAAACAGAAUUUGAUCAUCCAUUAUUUAGAAUUGAAUUAAAACUUACACUGUUGGUAUUUUUUAAAAAAGAAGUUUCUUUUAAAAAACAUCUAUCCCAUUUACCUUUUCCUUACCCCCUAGACAAGGCAACACCAAUUUCAAUUGAGUUCCUCACCUUUAGAAAUCCAAGUAUUGAUUUAGCACCAAGGGAACCACAAAUGCAAUAAAAGAACAUGUAAAGUCCCAUUGAAGCAAAAUCCAAUAAAAAAACAUAAGAAUUUCACAAAAACCAAGAAAGAAAAAAUCCCCCAAUUUCCCAAUUUCACAUCCAUCGCCAUGAAACAACCGAAAUAAACAACAACACAAUGUGGGCAGACAAGUUCCAAGAAAAUCCCAAUUUUACCACAAACAACAAAUCGAAAGAUUAGAACUUUCUACACAUGCCACAUCCAUACCCUAAAACCUUGCUUAUGUCGGUACGGUGUAAAUAAUACUAAGAUUAAAAUGUAAUUAUAAUUUAUACUUAUUAUGUUAAAAUUUGUGAAGAACUUGUAACAAUUUUACUUGUAUAAACUUCAUGUACAAUGGGUUAGUAUGGUUGCAUAAUAGAGUUGAUAUUGGGUUCUCGACCAUUGGGAGUCCUUGUGUUUCCGAACCUUGGGUUCUCUGGUCAUGCGUGGUUGGGAACUCUUUGAUUUUUAUAUUAAAAUAAAAAUAGAUUUUAUUGUAAUAAAAUAAAAAAUAAAUAAAUGAAUUCUUUUUGAAUAUUUGCAUCUUUAAGUAUCAAAGAUUCACUAGCAUUUGAUAAAAAUAUUAAAAUUUUUGAAUAAAGUUUUACACUAAAAACAACAUUUGAUCAUCCAUGAUUUAAAAAUGAAAUUUUUAUUUCUUUUGGAUUUAAAAAAAAAAAAUUCUAAAUGUCAAAUUCUUAAAUUAUAAAUAUUUAAAAAAAUUAAAACUUACACUGUUGUUGUUUUUUAAGUAUUGAUUUUAGAAUACUUAAAAAUUAAGUAUUAUUUUUUUAAAUUUUUUUUUUAAAUUUUGGAGAGUCGGAUCGUCGUUGGUCAGGGGCUUCAUGGACCCCUGACAGCGACCGAUCAGGGACUCAUGGAGCCCUUGAACAUCGUGGGUUGGGGGUUCGUCGAACCCCGAACCCCUCAUUGGGCUUGUUUGUUGCAGCUUAAAAGCUGUAACUUUUAGUUUCUAGCUUUAAAAAAGUUGGGAUGUAGUGUUUGUUUUAGCUUAUAGAAUUCUAACUUAUAGCUUUUACUAGCUUUUAGAAUGGGUAGAAGCUGGCUUUUUCAAAGUUGGGGUACCCUAUCUUUUACAACUUUUGCUUAAAUAAUUACAUUUUUAUGACAAUUUUGUCCUUAUUUUUAACAAAGAAUUACCCUCUUGUCUACGCAAUCAUGGAUUUUUCUUCUCCACCGCCAUCUCCAUUUUCAGAUCUCUUCCUCUCUCUCGUCUUCUUCCUCUCUCUCUAUACUUUAAUUAAUUUUUUUAUAACACUUGAAACUUAUACAUAUACACUAAUUAAUUUUUAAAUUAUCAUUCUAUAACUAUUAAGAGUAUUAUGGACAAUUAUACAAAAAUAAGUUAUUUUACAGCUUAUAGUAUCAAACACUACAACUUCUAAAAAGGUGCAGCAAACAGAUUCACAACUUAUUCUAAGUUUUAGAAGCUAUAAUCUAAGAAGCUUGAAGUUAUAAUUUCUUUAAUUAAGCUGCAACAAACGGGGCCAUUAUCGUCGAUCGGGGGCGAUGGGUCGACCGCUACUGGCGGCCAACCAAUCGCGUGAGUGUAUUUAUAUAUAUAUAUGUGCCUGUGUGUAUUUGGGGGUGAUGGUGACCGUUGACCGCAUUGAAAGCAAGAGUGUGUAUAUAUAUGUGAGUGUAUAUAUUUAUAUAUAUGUGCCUGUGUGUAUAAAGAGGAAGAAAGAGAUAGAGAGGGAUAGAGAGAUGAGAGACAAAAGCAAGGAUAAGGAGAGAGACAUAGAGAGGGAAGGUAGGGAGACAGAGGGUAGGCAAAUCAUUUGUGAUGCUUGGGCGGGAACAUCCAUUAAUGUAAGUCAUUGAAAUGUGUCUUUGAUACAUUUUAUACAUUUUCAAAAACUCUUUUUCCUCUUAUACAUUUUCAAGUAGUUCUGUCUCUUGCAUCAAGGGAAAAGAUAUAAAUUGUCCAAAUUGUAGUACUGACUAAAAAAGAAAAGAAGAGUGGCAAUAUAAUAAAUGGUAUCGUGGAUGACUGUGUUGCUGUCAAUCUUAUCCAAAACUGACAUCCAAUUGGUAACAUUGCAUGAAAAAAUUAUUGUCUUAAUAACUCAGUCAAAAUAAGUGUAAUGUUCUUAAUCGUAAUGUUCUUAAUAACUCAAUCAAAAUAAAAUAAAAAAUAUAAAAAAAUAAAAAUAUUAAUAAGUGUUUAAGUAUUAAAAGAAAUAAAAAUUUAAAUAAGUAUUUAAGAAAAAUUCAAUUCAAAUAUGUUGAACUAAGUAGUACAGAAAAUAUUUUGAAUAUUUAGUUCAGACAAGCCUAUUUAUAAAAUUUAAUUUGAUUUAUAAAUAUAUAGUAUUUUAAAAAGAUCAAAAUUUAUCUCAAUGUUGUAUUUAUCUAUUGAUAAAUAUGCACAUUAAAUAAAUAAAAUUUAAGAGAAUAAUAAAUUAUCUAUUAUUAUAUUUAUUUAUUGCUCAUAUUUAUCAGUUGCUUAUGAUAGUCUAGAGUCAUGAAAUAUAAUUUGGUUAGUUUUUAUGUUAUAUAGUCAUUCAGUUAUAUACUUGUGGGGAAUUAGCACAUGUUCAUUAUACAAUUUUGAAUUGAAAAUAGAAGUCUCGUUGCAUUGUUGGUGGAUUGAUAAUAGGUGUAUGUGAAGAAGGGGUGAGAUCAUUCCUGAAUUUUAUGUUGGAAAUUUUGUAACUAAGUAUUUUGUGGAAAUAUGAAAUUUCAUGGAAAAUUGAUAUCAAAAUACUCUUAAUAAGUGACCGAAUCAACUAUAGGGAGUACCCUAGAGCUUAGAUAUCUAAGGAAAAUGUUAUGUGGUCGAUGAGCUUCUUGAAACAAGAUUUAUGCCAUUGAAAGAAAUCGGAACAGAGACAGUUCUCGAUACAACUAAGUUAUAGCCUAAAAGAUCGAAUAACGGUAAAGGACUUCUAGGGAGUCAACGAAACCUUGAGAAUGUCUAUAUUUUGCAUAAGGAAUAACCCUUAAGUGGUUUUGGGAUGAAACAAAAAGGGUUUGCGAUCAAAAUAUACAUUCAGGCUUAAGUGUAAUUUCUUAAUCUUGCAUCGAGAAAGGUUGAAAAGAUGAUUUUUCUGAAUCUUCGAGGGUGAAAUGAAAAGUUUAGAACUCAUGGAUUUUAAUGGAAUGGUUGGAAAGCUCAGGGGCUUCAAAUAGGGGCCAACAUGAAAUUUGAAAAAUAACGGGGGGUCAAAGUGAAAUUUCUCAAAAGACCAGCCACUACCACCGCCGGCCAGCCACUUGCCAUUGCCAGGAAGGACGUUCUAGGGUCCAAAGGGGGCCCCAGGGCAUGGUGGAUUGAUUGGAGACGGGUAUCGGCCAUGAUUUGACGGGGUAUGACGAGGCCAUUCAAAAGGAGAUAAAGCUGUCCGAUAUGGGGAAGAUCGAAUCUUGGACAACGGAAGAACACAGAGACAUGGAGAUCAAUGCUAAAGCCAUGAACACGCUAAUUUGUGCGUUGUGCCAUGAAGAAUUCAACUGCAUCUCCAUAUGUAAGAAAAACCAUGGAGAUAUAGGACAAGCUUAAGGUAACUCAUGAAGGUACAAAUCAAGUUAAAGAGACCAAAAUUAAUUUACUGGUGCAUGAUUAUGAAUUGUUUUCAAUGAAAGAAAAUGAGACAAUUAAAGACGUGUAUACUAGGUUUAAUGACAUUGUUUCUACUCUAGAGUCUCUAGGAAAAACAUAUUCAAAUGGAGAAAGAGUUAGAAAAAUUUUAAGAAGUCUACCUAGGUCAUGGGAUCCCAAAGUAACCACUAUAACUAAAGCUAAAGGCCUAGAUAACAUUCCUUUUGAAAACUUAUUAGGUUCUCUAAUGACUCACGAAAUUAUGUUAAAAAGAAAUGAUGUAGAUGAAUCUAAGAAAAACAAAAAUGUUUCCUUUAAGGUUGAGUAUGAAGACAAGGAAUCACAAGAUAGUGAUGAGGAUGGCUUUGCUAGAAAAUUUAGCAAAUUUAUGAAGAAAGGAAAUUUAAUCAAAGAAGAAAUUUUAGAAAAGAUAAAGAUAAAAAAGAAACAAGUACUUCUAACAAAAUUCGAUAUUUUGAGUGUAAGAAAUUAGGUCAUAUAAAGACCGAGUGUCCUUUGCUCAAAAGAAGGAGAAGAAAGACAAGAAGAAGAAGAAAGUUCUAAUGGCUUGGAGUGAAGAUGACCUUUCAUCAAGUAACGAAUCUGGAAGUGAUGAAGUUGCAAAUCUAUGCCUCAUGACCAAAAUUGAAGAUAAGGUUGCAUUGGCUUCACUUGACUCAAGGAGCAAAUGGUUCCUUGAUAGUUGGUGCUCAAGGCACAUGACGUGAGAUCAAGGGCUUCUCAAUAAUGUCAUCCUCAAAGAAGGAGGCAUGCAUGAACCAUUAAAUUAAAAGCCCAAAUCAUUAAAGUUCAAGGAAGGCCCACAUUUAAUUGCAAGUUGGAAUGAAGAAAUGGCCUAGCGCAUGCCCAUUAAAUUGAAGGCCCAAGGCCCAACGCAUGUUUAAGGCCCAACUUGAGCAACCCAUGGAAGACAUCAUUUGGAGAAGGCCCAAGUAUUUUUAAUCCUAAUGAAGACCAAAACCCAAUUGUAAAAAUCUAUUUUUAUUUUUUUUAAUAUUUGUUUUAUAAGUACUUUAUUAGGUGUGUCUUUAGCUAAAAUUCAUUUAACUUUAGGUGUGUAUUUUAGCUAAAAUCUAUUUAACUUUAAGUGUCUGAGUG
Diospyros lotus (date-plum) is the source of this 20092-nucleotide long non-coding RNA. RefSeq lists it as uncharacterized. Lineage: Eukaryota; Viridiplantae; Streptophyta; Magnoliopsida; Ericales; Ebenaceae. The record is from RefSeq and is a predicted model, not a curated record. The transcript is spliced from 6 exons.